This 1315-nucleotide ribosomal RNA is filed under the name metagenome. Its description in RNAcentral is "bacterial LSU rRNA". It matches the Rfam family "Bacterial large subunit ribosomal RNA", at positions 1596 to 2925 of the family's 2925-position model. The record is from RNAcentral.
CCGGUCACGCUUCCAAGAAAAGCUUCUAGGGUUAAUUUAGUAAGUGCCCGUACCGAUAACCGACACAGGUAGGCGAGGAGAGAAUCCUAAGAUGAGCGAGAGAACUCUUGUUAAGGAACUCGGCAAAAUGACCCCGUAACUUCGGGAGAAGGGGUGCUUGUGAAAGCAAGCCGCAGUGGAUAGGCCCAGGCGACUGUUUAUCAAAAACACAGGUCUCUGCUAAACCGCAAGGUGAUGUAUAGGGGCUGACGCCUGCCCGGUGCUGGAAGGUUAAGAGGAGAGGUUAGCGCAAGCGAAGCUUUGAAUUGAAGCCCCAGUAAACGGCGGCCGUAACAAUAACGGUCCUAAGGUAGCGAAAUUCCUUGUCGGGUAAGUUCCGACCCGCACGAAAGGCGUAACGAUCUGGGCGCUGUCUCAACAAGAGACUCGGUGAAAUCAUAGUACCUGUGAAGAUGCAGGUUACCCGCGACAGGACGGAAAGACCCCGUGGAGCUUUACUGUAGCUUGAUAUUGAGCACUGGUGACACAUGUACAGGAUAGGUAGGAGACGAAGAAGCCAGGACGCCAGUCUUGGUGGAGUCGCUGUUGGGAUACUACCCUUGCGUUACUGGGGUUCUAACCCGUGGCCAUGAUCUGGUCAGGGAACAGUGUCAGGUGGGCAGUUUGACUGGGGCGGUCGCCUCCCAAAGAGUAACGGAGGCGCCCAAAGGUUCCCUCAGAAUGGUUGGAAAUCAUUCGAAGAGUGUAAAGGCAGAAGGGAGCUUGACUGCGAGACCUACAAGUCGAGCAGGGACGAAAGUCGGGCUUAGUGAUCCGGCGGUACCGAAUGGAAGGGCCGUCGCCCAACGGAUAAAAGCUACCCCGGGGAUAACAGGCUGAUCUCCCCCAAGAGUUCACAUCGACGGGGAGGUUUGGCACCUCGAUGUCGGCUCAUCGCAUCCUGGGGCUGUAGUCGGUCCCAAGGGUUGGGCUGUUCGCCCAUUAAAGCGGUACGCGAGCUGGGUUCAGAACGUCGUGAGACAGUUCGGUCCCUAUCCGUCGUGGGCGUAGGAAAUUUGAGAGGAGCUGUCCUUAGUACGAGAGGACCGGGAUGGACACACCGCUGGUGUACCAGUUGUUCUGCCAGGAGCAUAGCUGGGUAGCUACGUGUGGACGGGAUAAACGCUGAAAGCAUCUAAGCGUGAAGCCCCCCUCAAGAUGAGAUUUCCCAUUCGAAAGAAGUAAGAUCCCUUGAAGACGACAAGGUAGAUAGGUCAGAAGUGGAAGUGUGGUGACACAUGGAGCGGACUGAUACUAAUCGAUCGAGGACUUAAUC